Molecule: ribosomal RNA, 492 nt
Filed under: uncultured bacterium
Lineage: Bacteria
Description: partial 16S ribosomal RNA
Rfam family: Bacterial small subunit ribosomal RNA
Source: RNAcentral
AGUGAACGCUGGCGGUAGGCCUAACACAUGCAAGUCGAACGGCAGCACAGUAAGCGCUUGCUCUUACGGGUGGCGAGUGGCGGACGGGUGAGGAAUACAUCGGAAUCUACUUUUUCGUGGGGGAUAACGUAGGGAAACUUACGCUAAUACCGCAUACGACUUACGGGUGAAAGCAGGGGAUCUUCGGACCUUGCGCGAUUGAAUGAGCCGAUGUCGGAUUAGCUAGUUGGCGGGGUAAAGGCCCACCAAGGCGACGAUCCGUAGCUGGUCUGAGAGGAUGAUCAGCCACACUGGAACUGAGACACGGUCCAGACUCCUACGGGAGGCAGCAGUGGGGAAUAUUGGACAAUGGGCGCAAGCCUGAUCCAGCCAUACCGCGUGGGUGAAGAAGGCCUUCGGGUUGUAAAGCCCUUUUGUUGGGAAAGAAAAGCAGCAGGUUAAUACCCCGCUGUUCUGACGGUACCCAAAGAAUAAGCACCGGCUAACUUCGUG